Physcomitrium patens is the source of this 1237-nucleotide non-coding RNA. Lineage: Eukaryota; Viridiplantae; Streptophyta; Bryopsida; Funariales; Funariaceae. The record is from RefSeq and is a predicted model, not a curated record.
GAUGCCCGAUGGAAACCCUAAUUCUGCAUCCCCGCGUCGUUACAGACGCGCAUUCCUCGUUCGCCAUCGCAACCAACCCAUUUUCUGAAUUAGUUUUUUCGACACUAUUGCAGCCCUUUCCACAUGGUUAGCGUUAUCCUGAAAAUAGGACGACCCACACUCCAGGACGCAUCUCGUCUAUCUUCGGUAUAUUGACUCUUCCGCAUCAGUUAUUUUAGCUCUCCACCAUUGCGUGCACAGCGUGUCAGAUUCCACUGGAGCUACUCCGUCGUGGAAGCCAACGCCAGGGCGAAGCUUGUCCACGGACAUGAACAGGACGAUAGGAAAUCAAAGCGAUGCACUGGAAAGCCUCGGAGUGACGCAGACACCUUCAAACAGAGCCUUCUUCCAUUGGGGGUGAAAGAGAGCAUCACGUCAAGCCUUACGAUUACUGCAUGUUUGCACAUCGUGGAUUGGAGUUUCGAGUGCACGCCACCGGACCCUGCCUCUCAGUAGUGAAGUGAAAAAAGGGCCGCAAUGGUCAUAGCUACUCGUGGACUACACCUUUUGAAGCAUUUAGAUGGCCUCUAGUUUAGUAGCUAUCCCAAUCGAUGCUUUUGGCGUGGUUUCAUGUGUGGUCCUGGUGGAACAUCUCUCAGACCUUGAUUUUGUAUUUGUUUAUUUUGGUAUGUCUCACGAUAACUAAGAAGUUUCAGUGCAAGGAGAUGAGAAUCUGCAGCAUGGUGUCAUGGAUUGACUACUGGUUACCGUGGUAAUCAAGCGGUAAUGUCUAUCCUGGUGCUAAUCACAGACCUCUCUGGUCAUUUGUGAUAAUACACAUUUACGAACCGAAUGGCUGAGGCCUCUUCGAACAAAUGACAAGCCAUGAGAAACUUACUUCUUAGGCGGACAAGAGUUUCAUGGGAGAUGAAGGAGAGCUUCAUACUGUUGCUUUGCCAAGGUUCACUCCGUGUUCGCUUGCCUGGGGUUGCCCUUUCAAGGAAGAGCUGAUUCGUGCGAACGCAACAUCUCGAAAUUCUCACAUGGGUGUGUUCGGUAGUUUUCAUGUGGAAAAUUGUUUCAACAAUCAAUUUUCACGUUGUUUCGAAUCUUGGCGCAGGUGAGGUCUUUUUUUGGGUUGAAUAAAAAAUAUUUAAUUAUCUAGAAAGAUUUUUUUUACAUUCGCUUUGUGAAUUCAUUCUUUUUAUUUAAAGACAUAUGCCAUUGCAUCAAUAAAAACUACCAUGUUCCCUACUCA